AUGUAUGAAACGACUGCUAUAAUCACAUGCAGUAAAACAUUAGGAAUGGAAAAUCAUUAAAACAGGGUACUGGGAACCAGGCAACAAAGCAGCAAGGCCAGAAGCCAUGAGGGCUGUCCACUGGGCAAGGCCAGCUACAUGAAAAACAACAGGAAGUGGUGCCUGGGCUCCUUUGUAUAAGGCAGCAGGGAUGCUUUUUGCCCAUUUAAGAGUCUUUACCGUCUAACGUUACUGUCAAAGAAAGAAUAAUAAGAAAGAAAAAUAUUGUGGCAGAAUGAAAGAUGGAUUGGAGAGAAGAAGGUUAUAUCCAGUUUUAGCUUCACAGAUCUUCACACCUAUUACAUUACAUGGAGUCAAAACAGAAGCAGCCAAAUUAAAGCCAAGGAGAGACAUGCGGCAGAAUCGGUAGAAAGCAAAAACUGACCCAAUAA
Molecule: long non-coding RNA, 431 nt
Organism: Trichechus manatus latirostris (Florida manatee)
Lineage: Eukaryota; Metazoa; Chordata; Mammalia; Sirenia; Trichechidae
Exons: 3
Source: RefSeq, a predicted model, not a curated record